GUUAUUUAACCUCUGUGUCUCAGUUUCUUUUUUUAUUUUUUGAGACAGAGUCUCGCUCCAGCCUGGAAGACGAGCGAAAUUCCGUCUCAAAAAAAGAACACAAAAAAUUUAAGUUCUAGUUAAUUAAUUGAAAUAAACCAGUUUCUCUCUGAUGAGAGAAAAAAAUGUGCUAAGUACUGCUGAGUUCUGGAGGGCCACAAACACUGCGUGAAAAACAUCUAGGAUGUUUUCACUCUUGUUAAAAACGCAUGUUUUAGUACUAACUCAUUUAAAACAACUGUUGAAAAACUCAAGUUACCUCCUGGAGGGUAAGUGGAAGCUGAGGGACAUCGGUGGGAGGCAGGUGUCUCUCUGUACCCUUUACACUUUUCCAGUUUUGAAUUUUACAUAGAUACUGCUUGUUCGAAAAAUUUAAAGAAUGAUUUUUAUCUACUUAAGCACCAAGUAACUGAUAGGUUACACACAGGAGAUACGUGUUUGUUUACACUGCAGGGCUCGACACUGCACAACUGGCACAAUCUUCCCAAAAGUCAACCCGUUUUCUAAAACUUCCGCAGAACCACCCUGACCGUAAAGACGAUUUCAACAACGAGAUAG
RNAcentral lists this long non-coding RNA (597 nucleotides) under Homo sapiens (human). RNAcentral's name for it is "LNC_000135". Lineage: Eukaryota; Metazoa; Chordata; Mammalia; Primates; Hominidae. The record is from RNAcentral.